Molecule: non-coding RNA, 229 nt
Organism: Pelobates cultripes (western spadefoot toad)
Lineage: Eukaryota; Metazoa; Chordata; Amphibia; Anura; Pelobatidae
Source: the annotation of a GenBank genome assembly
AGAAAAUACGAUUUAUUUGGAUUUUUUAGUUCUACAUGACAUUUUAACGGUCAGUGUCAUAAUACUGUUUGCUUUUACUGCAAUAAAAUACACAUAUUUGUAUUCAGCAAAGUCUCACGUGUAAAACAGUACCCCCUAUGUACAGGUUUUAUGGCGUUUUGGGGAGUUACAGGGUCAAAUAUAGCACGUUACAUUUGAAAUUGAAAUUCGCCAGAUUGGUUACGUUGCC